RNAcentral lists this long non-coding RNA (414 nucleotides) under Nicotiana tabacum (common tobacco). RNAcentral's name for it is "long non-coding RNA (NTAB_LNC016238)". The record is from RNAcentral. Lineage: Eukaryota; Viridiplantae; Streptophyta; Magnoliopsida; Solanales; Solanaceae.
CCUUGAUGCUAUAUUAUACUAAGUGUUGGAAAAUCGAACAAGUCCUCAAGACUUUGUAACGUAUGCUAUUUGUGUAUUAAGUAGCCAAUGUGACUUGACACUUAGUCAUAUCGAGGGAAAGGUUAAACCAAAUUUCACUACUAGAGGUUUUUCGUUGUAUCGCUUGCGAGGCCGAGGCCUAUGCCAAGGGCGAUGUGCCAAUACAAUGCCGCAAGUAGAGGAUUUUCGUUGUGUCGCUUGCGAGGCCGAGGCCUAUGCCAAGGGCGAUGUGCCAAUACAAUGCCGCAAGUAGAGGAUUUUCGUUGUGUCGCUUGCGAGGCCGAGGCCUAUGCCAAUGGUGAUGUGAUAAUACAAGUUAUCAAGUAGAGGUUUUUUGAGGCGUCGCGGUGCGAGGCCAAGGCACAAGCCAAGAGU